This 443-nucleotide ribosomal RNA is filed under the name uncultured bacterium. RNAcentral's name for it is "partial 16S ribosomal RNA". It matches the Rfam family "Bacterial small subunit ribosomal RNA", at positions 338 to 795 of the family's 1533-position model. The record is from RNAcentral.
CCUACGGGAGGCAGCAGUGGGGAAUAUUGGGCAAUGGGCGCAAGCCUGACCCAGCAACGCCGCGUGAAGGAAGAAGGCUUUCGGGUUGUAAACUUCUUUUAUUGAGGACGAAACAAAUGACGGUACUCAAUGAAUAAGCCACGGCUAACUACGUGCCAGCAGCCGCGGUAAUACGUAGGUGGCAAGCGUUAUCCGGAUUUACUGGGUGUAAAGGGCGUGUAGGCGGGACUGCAAGUCAGAUGUGAAAACCAUGGGCUCAACCCAUGGCCUGCAUUUGAAACUGUAGUUCUUGAGUGAUGGAGAGGCAGGCGGAAUUCCGUGUGUAGCGGUGAAAUGCGUAGAUAUACGGAGGAACACCAGUGGCGAAGGCGGCCUGCUGGACAUUAACUGACGCUGAGGCGCGAAAGCGUGGGGAGCAAACAGGAUUAGAUACCCGAGUAGUC